This 73-nucleotide transfer RNA is filed under the name Rhododendron molle. Its description in RNAcentral is "tRNA-Arg". It matches the Rfam family "tRNA". From Rfam's summary of the family: Transfer RNA (tRNA) molecules are approximately 80 nucleotides in length. Their secondary structure includes four short double-helical elements and three loops (D, anti-codon, and T loops). Lineage: Eukaryota; Viridiplantae; Streptophyta; Magnoliopsida; Ericales; Ericaceae. The record is from RNAcentral.
GCGCCUGUAGCUCGGUGGAUAGAGCGUCUGUUUCCUAGGCAAAAAGUCGUAGGUUCGACCCUUACCUGGCGCG